CCGCUCAGGACGAACGCUGGCGGCAUGCCUAAUACAUGCAAGUCGAGCGGACUUUAGGGGAAGCCUUCUUCUCUGAUAGUUAGCGGCGGACGGGUGAGUAACACGUAGGCAACCUGCCCUCAAGUUUGGGACAACUACCGGAAACGGUAGCUAAUACCGAAUAAUUGUUUUCUUCGCCUGAAGGAAACUGGAAAGACGGAGCAAUCUGUCACUUGGGGAUGGGCCUGCGGCGCAUUAGCUAGUUGGUGAGGUAACGGCUCACCAAGGCGACGAUGCGUAGCCGACCUGAGAGGGUGAUCGGCCACACUGGGACUGAGACACGNCCCAGACUCCUACGGGAGGCAGCAGUAGGGAAUCUUCCGCAAUGGGCGAAAGCCUGACGGAGCAAUGCCGCGUGAGUGAUGAAGGUUUUCGGAUCGUAAAGCUGCUGUUGCCAGGGAAGAACGCUUGGGAGAGUAACUGCUCUCAAGGUGACGGUNCCUAGAA
This 486-nucleotide ribosomal RNA is filed under the name Paenibacillus sp. G10. Its description in RNAcentral is "bacterial SSU rRNA". It matches the Rfam family "Bacterial small subunit ribosomal RNA", at positions 20 to 484 of the family's 1533-position model. The record is from RNAcentral. Lineage: Bacteria; Bacillati; Bacillota; Bacilli; Caryophanales; Paenibacillaceae.